This 906-nucleotide ribosomal RNA is filed under the name uncultured archaeon. Its description in RNAcentral is "bacterial SSU rRNA". It matches the Rfam family "Archaeal small subunit ribosomal RNA", at positions 147 to 1058 of the family's 1478-position model. The record is from RNAcentral.
UAAUACCCCAUAGACUAUAGAUGCUGGAAUGCUUUGUAGUUGAAAGGUCCGCCGCCAUAGGAUGGGUCUGCGGCCGAUUAGGUUGUUGUUGGGGUAACGGCCCAACAAGCCUGUAAUCGGUACGGGUUGUGGGAGCAAGAGCCCGGAGAUGGAUUCUGAGACACGAAUCCAGGCCCUACGGGGCGCAGCAGGCGCGAAAACUUUACAAUGCGGGAAACCGUGAUAAGGGAACUCCGAGUGCCCGUAAAAUCGGGCUGUCCACCAGUUUAAAUAACUGGUGAAGAAAGGGCCGGGCAAGACCGGUGCCAGCCGCCGCGGUAAUACCGGCGGCUCGAGUGGUGGCCACUAUUACUGGGCUUAAAGCGUUCGUAGCUGGUCUGUUAAGUCUCUGGGGAAAUCUACUGGCUUAACCAAUAGGCGUCUCAGGGAUACUGGCAGACUAGGGACCGGGAGAGGUGAGAGGUACUCCAGGGGUAGGAGUGAAAUCCUGUAAUCCUUGGGGGACCACCUGUGGCGAAGGCGUCUCACCAGAACGGCUCCGACAGUGAGGGACGAAAGCUGGGGGAGCAAACCGGAUUAGAUACCCGGGUAGUCCCAGCUGUAAACGAUGCGCGUUAGGUGUAUCGGUGACCACGAGUCACCGAGGUGCCGAAGAGAAAUCGUGAAACGUGCCGCCUGGGAAGUACGGUCGCAAGGCUGAAACUUAAAGGAAUUGGCGGGGGAGCACCACAACAGGUGGAGCCUGCGGUUUAAUCGGACUCAACGCCGGAAAUCUCACCGGAUAAGACAGCUGGAUGAUAGUCGGGCUGAAGACUCUACUUGACUAGCUGAGAGGAGGUGCAUGGCCGUCGUCAGUUCGUACUGUGAAGCAUCCUGUUAAGUCAGGCAACGAGCGAGACCCCCGCC